Molecule: ribosomal RNA, 253 nt
Filed under: uncultured bacterium
Lineage: Bacteria
Description: partial 16S ribosomal RNA
Rfam family: Bacterial small subunit ribosomal RNA
Source: RNAcentral
UACGGGGGGGGCAAGCGUUGUUCGGAAUUACUGGGCGUAAAGGGUUUGUAGGUGGCUCGCUAAGUCACACGUGAAAUCCCUCAGCUUAACUGGGGAACUGCGUGUGAGACUGAUGAGCUCGAGUGCAGGAGAGGAACGCGGAAUUCCAGGUGUAGCGGUGAAAUGCGUAGAUAUCUGGAGGAACACCGGUGGCGAAGGCGGCGUUCUGGACUGCAACUGACACUGAAAAACGAAAGCCAGGGGAGCAAACGGG